CGGCAAAUGAGAAGCAACAGCAAAUAAUAACUGGCAGAUUUUAUUACAUUUUUUGCCAUUCUUCUGAAAAAUGAAGAUCAUAUUUCUUGUGGUUCACAUUAGCAUGUUGCUACAUGUUGUUUUCUCUGCUCAGGGUCGUUUUGCUCAAAAACUGCUGAAUGACCUAAUGGAGAACUACUCUAAUGCUUUACGGCCUGUGGAGGACACAGACGAAGCCCUUAACGUCACUCUACAGAUCACACUCUCACAGAUCAAAGAUAUGGAUGAAAGGAAUCAGGUAUUGACCACAUACCUCUGGGUGCGUCAGAUCUGGCAUGAUGCUUAUCUGAGUUGGGAUAAAGAUGAGUAUGAUGGACUUGAGGUCAUUCGAAUACCCAGCAGUCUUGUUUGGAGACCAGACAUCGUUCUGUAUAACAAUGCAGAUGAGGAGGACUCCUCUGGACCCCCAGACACGAAUGUGGUGUUGAGGUAUAAUGGUGAGAUCACUUGGGACUCCCCUGCCAUCACUAAGAGCUCCUGUAAGGUGGACGUCUCUUAUUUCCCCUUUGAUAGUCAGGAGUGCAACCUUACCUUUGGCUCCUGGACUUAUAAUGGCAAUCAGGUGGAUAUCAGAAUGGGCAUGGAGAGUGGUGACCUUUCAGACUUUGUGGAAAACGUGGAAUGGGAGUGUCAUGGCAUGCCGGCCGUUAAGAACGUUAUAAUGUACGGCUGCUGCUCUGACCCGUACCCUGACAUAACGUACACAGUCCUGCUCAAGCGGCGUUCUUCCUUCUACAUCUUCAACCUUCUUCUGCCGUGUUUCCUCAUCUCUUUCCUGGCUCCACUGGGUUUCUACCUGCCUGCUGAUUCUGGGGAGAAGGUCUCACUGGGGGUGACGGUUCUGCUGGCUCUGACUGUAUUUCAGCUGAUGGUGGCUGAGAGUAUGCCACCUUCAGAAAGUGUUCCACUAAUUGGAAAAUACUACAUUGCAACAAUGACCAUGAUAACGGCGUCUACAUCUUUAACUAUCUUUAUCAUGAAUAUACACUUCUGUGGAGCGGAAGCCAAACCUGUGCCCCACUGGGCCAAAGUCCUGAUAAUAGACUACAUGUCAAAGAUCUUCUUUGUGUAUGAGGUAGGGGAGAACUGUACCACACCUGAAAGUGACCGAGGCACAUUGUUCUCUGAAGACCCACUGGCUAGCCUUGAGAGAGAUGGGUAUUUUGACAAAGGGUUUUAUGGAGACUGUCACCAUGAUGACAGAAACCACCGUCAGUUUAAUGUGUACAAUCACAGAGACCACCGGCAUGGGAAUGGGUACCAUCACAACAACAGUGACUAUCGACAACAGAGGCAUAACCAGCAAAGGAGGACCCGCUCAUCUUCAAAUUCCCCUAUUCGACAGAAUGCCCAUCAUCCAAAAUACACACACUACAUUGGCCGAGAUGGAAGUGAAAAGCUCCCACUGACAAGCCAGGAGAAACUCAAAGAUAGCGAACUCUCCAUUCCAGAAAAACUUACUGGAUACACCUAUGAUAAUGGCAGUGGUUAUCUCAGUGGAGUUGGGUAUCACCACGAUAAUAGCUACAGCAAAACCUUUGGAGCAGAUAGUUAUAAUAAGACCACUUCUGGCACAGGAUGUGUAUGUGUCUGUGGUCAACAUCAGAAAGUGGUGCGAAACAUUGAGUACAUAGCUAACUGUUUCAGAGAGCAGAGGGCACACCAGGCCAAAGGGGCUGAGUGGAAGAAGGUUGCCAAGGUGAUGGACAGGUUCUUCAUGUGGGUGUUUUUCAUCAUGGUCUUCCUCAUGAGUAUCCUUGUCAUGGCCAAGGCAACCUAGACCGUUUACACCUUAAAGAUGUAAUCAAUUGAUAUUUCAUUAUGGCUAACACUAUGUGUCAAAAGACCAGUUAGUUAGUGAUUGUUCUUUUUUUUUCAAACAAAAAUUCCUAUAAUCUUGUAUUUGCUGGCAAAUGGGCUCAUGUUCUAUACAUUUAACGUAAUAUGUGGGUUACAGUUAAUGAACGAGCGUUGGUUGUUUGAAUGUCUCAUUUUCUUCAUUGUUUAUUUCAUUCUUUACAUUCAAGAAGAUUCUCUGGUUGUAACAGGGUCAUGGUGAUAUUGGAGUCUAUCCCAGCAUCUCGGGUGGAAGGCAGGGACCCACCCUGGACAAAUGGCCAGUCUAUCACAGGGCUAUUAUAAAAUGACCAACGGCAAUCCUCAUUCAUUGUAGGCAUGGACCGAUUACCGGCUUUCAAGUUAUACCGUGAUUUGAAAAUUUCACAGUUUUAGAACCCCUGGACAUUAUGCGAUCAGCAAUUGGCCACUUUUUGUUUUAUUUCAGCCAAUCUCUGUUCUGGCCUUGCACAAACUUCACUGAAAUUACUUUCCAAAAUGACAUUUGUGUGGAAAUAUUAUGAAGUCUGUAAAGUCUGUAAAGGCCAGAGACACUGAAGGGAUAAAAUACUGUACUGUAGCAGGCAGAGCAAGCUCACUGUUUGUGAUGUGCUAAAUAUUGGAAGAAAAUCCUAAAUAUUGAUUCAGGGGUUUAUAUUAAAUGUAUUUACAGUCUUCAGAAAAGUUUAGAUGGUAUUUUCUUUUCAUCUCGUCUUUGGAUAAUGCAUAUUAAAGAAAUGUUUAAGCACAGUGCUGCUGUGGAAACCAAGGAAACCAUUUUGCUGCUGUUCCAUUAGAGAAUUUUCGUUCUCAUUCAGUCUGUCUGCUGCUUUUGUUUCAUUUAGGGAUGUUUUAUGUAGCAUAAUUUCACUAAGUUGGUCAGAACAUUCUGUUUUUGCUUCAAAUUGUAUCAUUUAAUAACCCAAUCUAGCAGCAAUUUUAGCAGCAUAUAAACCAUCAAUUCAGAAAACACUUGAGAAAAAUAAAUCAAAGAAAAAAAGAAACAAAUAUUAUUCUUCCAAAUAUUCUGUAUGUUGCUUAAAAAAAUAAAAUAUA
Molecule: RNA transcript, 2931 nt
Organism: Onychostoma macrolepis
Lineage: Eukaryota; Metazoa; Chordata; Actinopteri; Cypriniformes; Cyprinidae
Gene: chrna9a
Gene name: cholinergic receptor, nicotinic, alpha 9a
Exons: 7
Source: RefSeq, a predicted model, not a curated record